RNAcentral lists this long non-coding RNA (380 nucleotides) under Physcomitrium patens. RNAcentral's name for it is "long non-coding RNA (PPAT_LNC014391)". Lineage: Eukaryota; Viridiplantae; Streptophyta; Bryopsida; Funariales; Funariaceae. The record is from RNAcentral.
UGCUUUCCUGCUCGAGAACGCACCGGACGUCUGGCUAUAGAAGGUAGUAUAGAGAUUCGCUAAUAUUCAAACAGUCUAUCGGUUUUUGACUGUUGGAAUAUAAAUAACUUCAAGAAUAUAUCGUAAAUCUAUACAUAUGUCCUUCAACUGCUCGUCGAAGUCCUUUUUGCCCCAGCCGGUAGGUCUCUAGUUAUUACAGAGAAUACCAAACAACUCAAAUUUCUAAUCUUUGAUACCGCUUUAUACUCACGAUCUUGUAUCCAUUGACUGUCUCGUUAGAUUAAUCCAAUAAAUUUCAUUCACUCCGCAUACUCAAUCCUAUAGAUACGCUUUCAAUUCUCCAUCACAGACAUAACUCGAUUUCACAAAACAGUCAAGAG